AUGGUUGUAAGUGAUCCAGACACUCGAUCGAAUGGUUCAGGUGAUUUUUGACUGAGAGAAGAGUUCUAAAGGCUUUAAAAGCAUGAUCUGAUGACUUCAAUUUGAUCUGGGCCAAGAUUCGAUGAUUGAGAGCACUACCGACUUGUUUGGGAACAUUUUGAGCUAAUUUUUGGGCCAUUUGAUCAUCAUCGGAUGGUGGGCAUGGGUUGAGGUGUUUGAAUACAAUUAAAACUCUAAUUUUAUUUCGAUUUCAGCUGGAUUUAAGCCUAUAAAAUGGGUAACACGGAUCCAAAGAGAGGGGAGCAAAAAAAUAGAGGCCAAGGUGUUAAAUUUGUACCC
Molecule: long non-coding RNA, 339 nt
Filed under: Elaeis guineensis (African oil palm)
Lineage: Eukaryota; Viridiplantae; Streptophyta; Magnoliopsida; Arecales; Arecaceae
Description: long non-coding RNA (EGUI_LNC057417)
Source: RNAcentral